UACGUAGGGUGCGAGCGUUGUCCGGAAUUAUUGGGCGUAAAGAGCUUGUAGGCGGUUUGUCGCGUCUGCUGUGAAAAUCCGGGGCUCAACCCCGGACCUGCAGUGGGUACGGGCAGACUAGAGUGUGGUAGGGGAGACUGGAAUUCCUGGUGUAGCGGUGGAAUGCGCAGAUAUCAGGAAGAACACCAAUGGCGAAGGCAGCUCUCUGGGACGGUACUGACGCUGAGACGCGAAAGCGUGGGGAGCGAACAGG
RNAcentral lists this ribosomal RNA (253 nucleotides) under uncultured bacterium. RNAcentral's name for it is "partial 16S ribosomal RNA". It matches the Rfam family "Bacterial small subunit ribosomal RNA", at positions 524 to 776 of the family's 1533-position model. The record is from RNAcentral.